CUUUCUUUCCUUCCUUCCUGAAAAAGGCAAGUGCGCGCUCUGUGCGUAAAAGGCGCCAUGGAGCCAAAGCGGCGCCUCUUUUCUCCUUGUUUGCUCGGCUUCUUCCAGGCGAAUUGAGGAGGGAGGGUUGCAGACUUGCAGUCCUUUCGAGGAGGCUCCUCUGCGCAUUGUUACGCCUUCCUUUCCUCCACUGAGGAAAGAGUAAGGGAGGGAAGACAAACCAAGCAGCACUGGCACUUGGGCGGCUGUGCGUAAUGCCAGGGCGCAGAGGGAGAAGGAGAUGGAGGCGCAGGGCAUCCAGUUUCCUCUUUGGCCUAGUAGUUUCUCAGCCAGGAGGAGGAGGAGAGGAGGAGCUGCUACUUCUUCUUCCUACUACUACAAGGAAGCCUUGCUGGUUGACCCAGAAACAUUCAGUAUCUCAAAUAAUGCUCAACCAUGGAUUUAAUUGGUAGAUUUGUACAAGCCCUGUCUUCACAGGAGGUCUGAAUAAGGUGCUGAGCUGUGGAUGGAGCCAAGCUGCUGCAGAAGACCAGGUGAAUCUUCAAAUAUGACAUUUUACAAACCCUUACACAGAAAGUUGGUUCAGCAUAACGUCCCAGCUAGGAUGUGUAAGAUGUUGUACUUUCAUAAGCAAUUAUCUCAUGCAAAAUGCACUAAAUUGUUUAGAUUGUAAUCCUCUGUGUGUGUAUAUGUGAGAGAGACGCCUCACAUGCACAUGUAAGUAGGGAAUAAGUACCAUUGAACACAGGAGGUAUUAUGUCUGACUAAACACACAUUUGUUUGGGCUGUAUACUGUUUGAGUUCCAAGUCACAGGGCAAAUAAAGAGGCUUUCUAAUGCCUGCACCACCACUGCAAAACUUUCCUUUGAACGUGUGUUCUUCACAAUUAACUUGUAAAGCAGUUUUCAGAAACCAGAGCUGCUGAGUGGAGCACCACCAUGUGGAGAAGGUUUUUGAGAGAUCUUAAUUCUGAACACCCUUACAAUAUAAAGGCAUAGUAGUAGGUCAUUAUAAAUUAACACACCUUUUAAAAUCAAGGCCACUUGAUAGAAAAGCAAUUUGAAAAGAUAAAGAAAUGGUUUGUAGUUUGAUCUUACCCAGUAUCUGUGUGACAACAGAUUAUUAAAUAGCUACAAAUACAAGAGUUCCUUGCCUGUCAUAUCUUAACCUCGUUUUAUAUUAAUUUACAUUUCAUAUUUAGUGACACUUGGCUGAUCACGGGUACGUAUCACUUGGUAUUUCAAAGGUAUGGCUAUCUGCAAGAACUGUCUGUCUCCCAUGUGGAUUACAUGGUUUAGAAAAGCAGUCCACAUACUUAGAUAAUCUCAAAUCUGCCCCUUGCUCACAGAAACACGAAACUGAGGUGGGCAACUGUGGCUCUCCAGAUGUUGGUAGACUGCAGGUCAUGUCUGCUUUAUCUUAGAAUAGUAAUCUAUCUAGACUAGCCAAUGGAGAGACAUUAUGGGAGUUUCAGUCCCAUAAUGUCCCAAUAUCAGAAAGGACCAGAGUUGCACACCUCUGCUCUAAACUGAGCCUGAGUUUUUAGGUUGCAGUAGUUCCCUCACAAUUCCUCUCUCUGCCCCAAGCCCCAUGUAUGGACCAAAGAUUGCUUUUGCAAUAAGAAUAUUUUGCUUCAGAAUAUUUCAUGGGAAUACAUUGUUGAACUAUCAUAUACAAUUGAAUUUAUAGUUGUAAAAUAUCUAUCUUCUGUUCUAAUAAAAAUGUUUGUUACAGAACU
This is a long non-coding RNA of Sceloporus undulatus (fence lizard), 1738 nucleotides long. RefSeq lists it as uncharacterized. The transcript has 3 exons. Lineage: Eukaryota; Metazoa; Chordata; Lepidosauria; Squamata; Phrynosomatidae. The record is from RefSeq and is a predicted model, not a curated record.